GGGGUCGCCUGGUUUUGACAGCAUAGGGUCUUUGAUAGUGUAAGCAUGUCGUGCGUUGUGUAAUUAGCACGUUAAUCUGAAUGCUCAAACUUCAAAUGGCGAAAAUAACUACGCCAUGGCUGCCUAAUCAGAGAUUAGACAUCCAUUAUAGCCGCCGAUAACUACCGCCUGUUGUAGUGUCCGCCGCCGAAUCAUCAAAAAAAACGGGAUAGGUAUUUAUGGUUUCUGUGAGUAAAUACCGAAGCUCAAACGGAUAAGGACGAGGUUGGUUUGUUGUGCCCCUGCUGAGUCUCGAAAAAUCAAUGCGCAAAUAAGCAUGUAGAAAGCUAUUGGAGAAUAUGUUUGGACGCGGGUUCGAUUCCCGCCGACUCCACUA
Molecule: transfer-messenger RNA, 376 nt
Filed under: Chitinophaga skermanii
Lineage: Bacteria; Pseudomonadati; Bacteroidota; Chitinophagia; Chitinophagales; Chitinophagaceae
Description: Standard tmRNA
Rfam family: transfer-messenger RNA
About the family: Bacterial tmRNA, also known as 10Sa RNA or SsrA, is named for its dual tRNA and mRNA-like properties. Its role is to liberate the mRNA from a stalled ribosome.
Source: Rfam by way of RNAcentral